CAGCCGCCGCGGUAAUACGUAGGGUGCGAGCGUUAACCGGAGUUACUGGGCGUAAAGCGUGCGCGGGCGGCUUUGUAAGACAGGCGUGAAAUCCCCGGGCUCAACCUGGGAAUGGCGCUUGUGACUGCAAAGCUAGAGUGCGGCAGAGGGGGAUGGAAUUCCGCGUGUAGCAGUGAAAUGCGUAGAUAUGCGGAGGAACACCGAUGGCGAAGGCAAUCCCCUGGGCCUGCACUGACGCUCAUGCACGAAAGCGUGGGGAGCAAACAGGAUUAGAGACCCCCGUAGUCCCUGUCUCUUAUAA
RNAcentral lists this ribosomal RNA (301 nucleotides) under uncultured bacterium. RNAcentral describes it as "partial 16S ribosomal RNA". It matches the Rfam family "Bacterial small subunit ribosomal RNA", at positions 509 to 809 of the family's 1533-position model. The record is from RNAcentral.